AAAGUGUUAUUUGACUGGAGUGAGGUCUCAUGUCUGCUUAUGCGGUGGCUCGCUGCUCAGAACAGGAUGGCAGAGAUGAGCACCACCAUCAAAAACUCAAGGACCAGUGCUGUGGGUCCAGUCAUCUGUUUCAUGGAAUUCACCAGUCUGGUAUCUUCAAAAUCCAGAAGGAUGAUGGCAGAUGGCAGGAAGGAACCAUUGGAGAUACUCAUUACUCUUUGAAGGCUUACAGUGGAAUGAAUUCAAAUACGACUUAUUUGAGGAAUUGAAGUUGACUUUAUGGAGCUGAUAAGAAUCUUCUUGGAGAAAAAAAGACUGGAUCUUUCAUUGUAGUACUUCUGAAUUAACCAAAAUCACAGUAUUCUGAAGAUGAUUCUACAAAGCCUGCUGUUUCUACAAAGGCUGCUGAUGAUUUCUACAAAGCCUGCUGUAGUGUUGCUGUGGCCUCUGCUUAAAAAAGUAGAAAACACAUUGAUGCAGCAUGUUCACCCCAACCUCCCUGCCUAAAGGCUCAGGGACCAUCUUGGAAGAGGAAGGCGCGUGAGAUUGUAAGAGCCGAAUUAGGGGGAUGGAGUGUGGAGAAUAAGGACACUUCAUCUUGGAUGCUCACCUGCCAAAUUGACUUCUGAUGAAAGCCAGCUCCAGAAAUGUGCCUACAGUUACUACUUUCACCUAAACCCUGCCCUUAGUCAAAUCCUUCUCUUCUUCUAAGCAAUCAACUUCAAUUCCUUGUAUAACCCACAGUAUAAAAGGGCUUUUAUACCAUUCUAUCCUAUUGCAUGUAAGCCUUGGGUCUGGGAGGUAACAGUGUGGGAUUCCACCAUCUCAUCUCCCUGCCACCCAAACAUGCCUGCUCUUCUUUAAGCAAUAUUAAAUGUUUGUACUUCAGAAA
Molecule: long non-coding RNA, 892 nt
Filed under: Homo sapiens (human)
Lineage: Eukaryota; Metazoa; Chordata; Mammalia; Primates; Hominidae
Description: PREDICTED lncRNA (TCONS_00142517)
Source: RNAcentral